Molecule: ribosomal RNA, 451 nt
Filed under: Escherichia coli
Lineage: Bacteria; Pseudomonadati; Pseudomonadota; Gammaproteobacteria; Enterobacterales; Enterobacteriaceae
Description: bacterial SSU rRNA
Rfam family: Bacterial small subunit ribosomal RNA
Source: RNAcentral
ACGAGCGCAACCCUUAUCCGUGGUGGCCAGCGGUCAGGCCGGGAACURAAAUGAGAMUKSCSGUGAWAAACUGGAGGAAGGKGGGGAUGACGUCAAGKCAUCAUGGCCCUUACGACCAGGGCUACACACGUGCUACAAUGGCGCAUACAAAGAGAAGCGACCUCGCGAGAGCAAGCGGACCUCAUAAAGUGCGUCGUAGUCCGGAUUGGAGUCUGCAACUCGACUCCAUGAAGUCGGAAUCGCUAGUAAUCGUGGAUCAGAAUGCCACGGUGAAUACGUUCCCGGGCCUUGUACACACCGCCCGUCACACCAUGGGAGUGGGUUGCAAAAGAAGUAGGUAGCUUAACCUUCGGGAGGGCGCUUACCACUUUGUGAUUCAUGACUGGGGUGAAGUCGUAACAAGGUAACCGUAGGGGAACCUGCGGUUGGAUCACCUCCUUACCUUAAAGAA